This 429-nucleotide ribosomal RNA is filed under the name Chloroflexota bacterium. Its description in RNAcentral is "Chloroflexi bacterium partial 16S ribosomal RNA". It matches the Rfam family "Bacterial small subunit ribosomal RNA", at positions 355 to 776 of the family's 1533-position model. The record is from RNAcentral. Lineage: Bacteria; Bacillati; Chloroflexota.
UGGGGAAUAUUGCACAAUGGGCGCAAGCCUGAUGCAGCCAUGCCGCGUGUAUGAAGAAGGCCUUCGGGUUGUAAAGUACUUUCAGCGGGGAGGAAGGGUGUAAAGUUAAUACCUUUGCUCAUUGACGUUACCCGCAGAAGAAGCACCGGCUAACUCCGUGCCAGCAGCCGCGGUAAUACGGAGGGUGCAAGCGUUAAUCGGAAUUACUGGGCGUAAAGCGCACGCAGGCGGUUUGUUAAGUCAGAUGUGAAAUCCCCGGGCUCAACCUGGGAACUGCAUCUGAUACUGGCAAGCUUGAGUCUCGUAGAGGGGGGUAGAAUUCCAGGUGUAGCGGUGAAAUGCGUAGAGAUCUGGAGGAAUACCGGUGGCGAAGGCGGCCCCCUGGACGAAGACUGACGCUCAGGUGCGAAAGCGUGGGGAGCAAACAGG